RNAcentral lists this ribosomal RNA (436 nucleotides) under uncultured Candidatus Brocadia sp. RNAcentral describes it as "bacterial SSU rRNA". It matches the Rfam family "Bacterial small subunit ribosomal RNA", at positions 383 to 810 of the family's 1533-position model. The record is from RNAcentral. Lineage: Bacteria; Pseudomonadati; Planctomycetota; Candidatus Brocadiia; Candidatus Brocadiales; Candidatus Brocadiaceae.
GUGACGAAGCGACGCCGCGUGCGGGAAGAAGGCCUUCGGGUUGUAAACCGCUGUCGGGAGUUAAGAAGUGCAUGGAUGUUAAUAGCGUCCUUGCUUGACUAAGGCUCCGGAGGAAGCCACGGCUAACUCUGUGCCAGCAGCCGCGGUAAUACAGAGGCGGCAAGCGUUGUUCGGAAUUAUUGGGCGUAAAGAGCACGUAGGCGGCCGUGUAAGUCGGUUGUGAAAGCCUUCCGCUCAACGGAAGGACGGCAUCCGAUACUGCAUGGCUCGAGUGCGGGAGGGGAGAGUGGAACUUCUGGUGGAGCGGUGAAAUGCGUAGAUAUCAGAAGGAACACCGGCGGCGAAGGCGACUCUCUGUCCGUAACUGACGCUGAGUGUGCGAAAGCUAGGGGAACAAACGGGAUUAGAUACCCCGGUAGUCCUAGCCGUAAACGAU